AGAGUUUGAUCAUGGCUCAGGACGAACGCUGGCGGCGUGCCUAAUACAUGCAAGUAGAACGCUGAAGAAAGGAGCUUGCUUCUUUUGGAUGAGUUGCGAACGGGUGAGUAACGCAUAGGUAACCUGCCUUGUAGCGGGGGAUAACUAUUGGAAACGAUAGCUAAUACCGCAUAACAGCUUUUGACACAUGUUAGAAGCUUGAAAGAUGCAAUUGCAUCACUACGAGAUGGACCUGCGUUGUAUUAGCUAGUAGGUAGGGUAACGGCCUACCUAGGCGACGAUACAUAGCCGACCUGAGAGGGUGAUCGGCCACACUGGGACUGAGACACGGCCCAGACUCCUACGGGAGGCAGCAGUAGGGAAUCUUCGGCAAUGGGGGCAACCCUGACCGAGCAACGCCGCGUGAGUGAAGAAGGUUUUCGGAUCGUAAAGCUCUGUUGUAAGAGAAGAACGUGUGUGAGAGUGGAAAGUUCACACAGUGACGGUAACUUACCAGAAAGGGACGGCUAACUACGUGCCAGCAGCCGCGGUAAUACGUAGGUCCCGAGCGUUGUCCGGAUUUAUUGGGCGUAAAGCGAGCGCAGGCGGUUUAAUAAGUCUGAAGUUAAAGGCAGUGGCUUAACCAUUGUUCGCUUUGGAAACUGUUAAACUUGAGUGCAGAAGGGGAGAGUGGAAUUCCAUGUGUAGCGGUGAAAUGCGUAGAUAUAUGGAGGAACACCGGCGGCGAAAGCGGCUCUCUGGUCUGUAACUGACGCUGAGGCUCGAAAGCGUGGGGAGCAAACAGGAUUAGAUACCCUGGUAGUCCACGCCGUAAACGAUGAGUGCUAGGUGUUAGGCCCUUUCCGGGGCUUAGUGCCGCAGCUAACGCAUUAAGCACUCCGCCUGGGGAGUACGACCGCAAGGUUGAAACUCAAAGGAAUUGACGG
Molecule: ribosomal RNA, 926 nt
Filed under: uncultured bacterium
Lineage: Bacteria
Description: bacterial SSU rRNA
Rfam family: Bacterial small subunit ribosomal RNA
Source: RNAcentral